AUACGUAGGGGGCGAGCGUUGUCCGGAAUGAUUGGGCGUAAAGGGCGCGUAGGCGGCCCGGUAAGUCUGGAGUGAAAGUCCUGUUUUUAAGAUGGGAAUUGCUUUGGAUACUGUCGGGCUUGAGUGCAGGAGAGGUAAGUGGAAUUCCCAGUGUAGCGGUGAAAUGCGUAGAGAUUGGGAGGAACACCAGUGGCGAAGGCGACUUACUGGACUGUAACUGACGCUGAGGCGCGAAAGUGUGUGGAGCAAACAGGAUUAGAUGCCCUGGUAGUCCACACUGUAAACGAUGAAUGCUAGGUGUAGGGGGUAUCGACCCCUUCUGUGCCGCAGUCAACACAAUAAGCAUUCCGCCUGGGGAGUACGGCCGCAAGGUUGAAACUCAAAUGAAUUGACGGGG
Molecule: ribosomal RNA, 397 nt
Filed under: uncultured bacterium
Lineage: Bacteria
Description: partial 16S ribosomal RNA
Rfam family: Bacterial small subunit ribosomal RNA
Source: RNAcentral